Molecule: long non-coding RNA, 3378 nt
Organism: Astyanax mexicanus (Mexican tetra)
Lineage: Eukaryota; Metazoa; Chordata; Actinopteri; Characiformes; Acestrorhamphidae
Exons: 2
Source: RefSeq, a predicted model, not a curated record
GCAGGUGAGUUUUAGUGGGAAUAGUAUGGAAUAAUAUGCAGAAAUGUGUUAAUGUCCGUGUCAUGUGUUUUCCUGUACAAGAAAUGGUACAGGGCAAAUCUCUACACGUCUGGGAGAUAACAGUAAUGUAUUUAAAUACACCACUAAAAUUACCAAUAUACUGUUUAAUAUGUAUUUACAUUUUGUGCUGUUAAUCUCAUACACUGCAUAUAUUAAAUGUAUCACAAUAAAAUUGUCAUAUUUAAUCAUAGAUCUUUCAGAACAGCACAAGUAUUGAUAAGAUGAUAUUUGGAGAAAAUCAAUAACACUGUUGUUUUGCGGUGUUUAUAGUUUGUUUUUUCAAGGUUCAAAGCUACAGGUUCCAAUAUCUCUGAAUACUAUAUAUUUUAUAUAUUAACCUCAAAAUGUAAAUAAACAUUGAUUUAGGAUUUGGCUAAGAAUUAUAUAGACACAGUAAUCAUUGGUAACAUUUUACAAUAAAGAUGGCAAAGAACAGUACUACUGAGAGUAAUAAAUAUUGUUAAAUGGUGAGCUUAGGACUUCACUGCAAAUGAUAAAACACUAUAUCCUUCUCUAGAUUAAUUUGUAAUGUAUUCUGUUCUGUAAGGUAUUUGGCUUUUUGUGUGAUCUUAUUUUUUUCCUGUUUGUACCUCCCUCUUUUGGCCUCUCUUACAUCACUUCCUCAGGUUCCGAAUGGAUUCCUUUCUCCACUGGAGCAGUGGUGGCUCAGUGGUUAGAGCACCGGGCUGCUGAUGACAGGAAUGUGGGUUUGAUACCCAGGCUCUGCAAGCUGCCACGUCCCCUGUCCCGUGUUCACUGCACAGUUGGCGGAGGCCACAUUCCACAAUGCAUUGCAGGCCUGGUUUUCACCACAUCAGGAUACACUGCUGCUUGCUGAAUUCCGGUGUGAAACGGAGCGCUGGUGCACCGCAACGUGUGUGUUAUACACACACAUUCCUUUCCACACUGAAGGACAGGUGCCUCCAACGGACACUCACACACCCACACAUACACACACACAUACACACACAUGCACACACACACACAGUCACCACUCACAUGUAAAGAUGCUUUGUUGCAGCAACUCAAGUUAAUUCUGGUCUCUGGUUUUUACACCUAUACACACACUUACACAUUUACCUAAAUGUGUCGAAUAGAUAUAAAGAUAUAGAUAUAGAGAUAUAUCUGAUAUAUUGAUAACUAUACUCACCCUCUUUAAGCCUUUAACACACUCAAAUAUAUUAUAUAUAGGCUACAUGUCCAAGCUUACACAUUACUUUUAUGCCUAAAUCUAAUACCAUGAAACAGAUACACAUAGGUACAUACAUAAUACCCACAUAAUUCUGAUUAAGAAGGUGAAUGCCAGAGUUGUGAGUCCAGUAGGAAACAGUGUGUGAUUGAAUGAGAGAUGGGAUUGAGUUGGGCCUGGAACAGAUGUUGCCUCUCUCUCUCUCAUUUCUAACCAAAAGCUGCCAUCUUCUGGCCACAGUGAGGAAAGCACAACAUUUAUACAUUAUUUAAGCCCACAAAGGGUCCCUGACUCAUGACCACUUUCAUCAUCCUGUGCGUCUCUUCAGUCAGGCCCUCAUGGAAACUCCGGUUGGUUGUGAUGUGUAGUUAAAUAAUAACAGUAUCUGUGGACAGCAAUAUGACUUCACAUGGUGUAUAACAUUUCUUUUUAAAAUAAUGCAUUUUGGUUAAGGGUCAUAAAUCGCAUGAUCCCUUAGCUGUUAUGCAAUGCUGUGUUUGUUUGUGUCUGUCCUCAGAUGUGACUGUGAAUGUGUGUGUGUCUAUGUGUGUGUGUGUCUAUGUGUGUGUGUGUGUAUGUGUGUGUCUGCCAUCUUUAAGGGGAUGUGCUGGGUAACUGUUGCCCGCUCUGGGUUUCCGGACUGGGUGCCUGCAAACUGCCGGUUUCUCUCCACCUCUCCUUCUAUCUCUCUCUCCAUCACUCCAUCUAUCUCUCUAUCACAGCAGCCAGGCACUCAGCCAGGAUACUGUGGCGACACUACAGCAGGCUUCCGCUGCACAGCACCCAGCAAUACACUGAGGAGGACAGUGAAGUGAUGAGGAUAAAACACCUCCCCCUGUUUAUCAUCUCAGGCCACACAACAGGUCAAAAGGUCACUUGAAUGGUCAGCCAUAAACUCAGGCCACACCUCUGUAUAGUGAAGACCCUCAAAUUACUGUAUUAUUAUUCUGCAGCUGAAAUGAAUGGUUCUAUAGCUUACAUUAAUGUAAUACUGGUGUAAUACUGGUGUAUCGGGAGUGGGUUAACAUAGCCAGGCCAUAGUCCCAUUGAACAAACUGUAUUUUGAACAGUAGACCUUGUGAAAGGCUGCCAAAGGAGCAGCAGAUCUCUCUCACGAAAAAGUGGAUUGCCGGUGAAGACCCUUAUUCACCCUCCAGCUCAACACCAAGGGGGAACUACCCCAUGUAAACUAAAGGCACACACAUACACACACAUAACAUGUCCCUCAAAAAACAUUAAACUAAAUAACUCAAAAUAUAGAGGAUAGCCAGCCGCUGAUUAUGCUGUGAGCUCCAAUUUAGGAAGUGGGACAUCGUAGGUCAUGAAAUUAAAUACAGUUAAAGAAAAACUACAUAGAAGAUGGUAAAAUAUAGUAGAACAGAAAAAAAGAUUUACAAUUUGCAUAUAAUCUGUGUGUUGGUAGUAAAUUUGUUGCUUGGGAUGGAUGAGUGGAGGAGUUUAGACUAGAAAAUAAUACAAAUAUAUAAAUUAUACAUUAUAUUAGUAAUUAAACAAAAACACAGAUUUAAACAUUGAUCCAAUAAAGCUAAUGCUGACAGUUAAAUAUUGAUUUAAUAAAUUGCUCUCUGGGAUUGGCACAAGUAACAGAGAGAAAUAGCCAAAUAAGGGCCAACACUUUAGUUUGUAUUUUUUCAGCCUGCCCACAGGACGUAAAAUACCAGAUUAUUUCCCACCUUCAAUUGCGAUUGUACAAAUUUAUCCCCUUUAAUCUUAAUCUUCCUCAAAGUAAUAUAUCGGCCAUUUCUUGUAAAGUUGUCCUCAAACUAGUAUUGUAGUAGAAGACAACUACUUUUUUAAAGUUGAGUUGAUAAGUAAUCUUAACAGUACAGACAACAUGCAGGCCUUAGGCUAGCAGCUGCUACUGUUUUAGUUAAACAAUGUACAGUUUUAUACUUGAUAGUGUCAAAAAAGUACUACAUAAACAGGAGAUUACUUAUCAAGUAAUUAUCAAGUCAACUGGUGCUAAAUGGUGUGUAUAAAUGGUGUUAUAUCUACAGUAAAAAAAAGGAAAGGGCAAACAUCUGAUUGGCUGAUUACCAAAUUUGGUGUAAAAGAAAUGUUUUAUUUUAGCAAAAAACACUGGCCUAAUAAAACAUUUUUUGAAGUUA